AUGGUUUAAAAAGACGAGAAGACCCUAUAGAGUUUAAUAAAUAAAUUAUUUGAUAUUAUUUAUAAUUAUAAAAUUGAAAUUAAUUUAUUUAUUUUGUUGGGGUGAUAAAAAAAUAUAAAAAACUUUUUUUUUUAGUUAACAUUUAUAAGUGAUUAAAUGAUCCAAUAUUAUUGAUUAUAAGAAUAAAUUACCUUAGGGAUAACAGCGUAAUUUUUUUUUUUAGUUCA
RNAcentral lists this ribosomal RNA (227 nucleotides) under Pirateolea piscator. RNAcentral describes it as "partial 16S large subunit ribosomal RNA". Lineage: Eukaryota; Metazoa; Arthropoda; Insecta; Lepidoptera; Noctuidae. The record is from RNAcentral.